This 465-nucleotide ribosomal RNA is filed under the name uncultured bacterium. Its description in RNAcentral is "bacterial SSU rRNA". It matches the Rfam family "Bacterial small subunit ribosomal RNA", at positions 338 to 795 of the family's 1533-position model. The record is from RNAcentral.
CCUACGGGAUGCACCAGUGGGGAAUAUUGCACAAUGGGCGCAAGCCUGAUGCAGCCAUGCCGCGUGUAUGAAGAAGGCCUUCGGGUUGUAAAGUACUUUCAGCGAGGAGGAAGGCGUUAAGGUUAAUAACCUUGGCGAUUGACGUUACUCGCAGAAGAAGCACCGGCUAACUCCGUGCCAGCAGCCGCGGUAAUACGGAGGGUGCAAGCGUUAAUCGGAAUUACUGGGCGUAAAGCGCACGCAGGCGGUCUGUCAAGUCGGAUGUGAAAUCCCCGGGCUCAACCUGGGAACUGCAUUCGAAACUGGCAGGCUAGAGUCUUGUAGAGGGGGGUAGAAUUCCAGGUGUAGCGGUGAAAUGCGUAGAGAUCUGGAGGAACACCGGUGGCGAAAGCGGCUCUCUGGCCUGUAACUGACACUGAGGCUCGAAAGAGUGGGGAGCAAACAGGAUUAGAUACCACAGUAGUC